UAAACUCCUGUCAUUAGAGAACAAAACCCACUUAGUAACUGAUGUUGGGUUUGAUAGUAUCUGAAGAGGAAGAGACGGCUAACUCUGUGC
This 90-nucleotide ribosomal RNA is filed under the name uncultured bacterium. Its description in RNAcentral is "partial 16S ribosomal RNA". The record is from RNAcentral.